RNAcentral lists this long non-coding RNA (1703 nucleotides) under Marmota monax (woodchuck). Lineage: Eukaryota; Metazoa; Chordata; Mammalia; Rodentia; Sciuridae. The record is from RNAcentral.
CGAGGGCUAGCGGCCGCCAGCGCCGGAGGACGCGGGGUAUUGGGCAGAGCUCCGGACUCCAGCGCCCGAAGGCCCGACAGCGCUCUGGGAAGCUCCCAGGGCCUCACACGAACCCCGGGCCCUGACGCUCUUGAAGUUGCACACGGAGAUUCAAGUGCAUGGAAAGUGGGAUGUUUUCUUAAUAAAAGGCCCAGAAACCCUUCAGGGCCAAGGGAGCUGAAUAAGAACCAGAGCCUGGCGUCGGGAAGCUAAGGUUUCUUGAAAAUGUUUAUGGAUCGCGCGGGGCUGUGGCUUCAGGUCUCAGAACAUCAAGGCACAGCCACUUCCUUCAGGGAACUCGGUCCCACCAGGGAAACACAAAGAUACAACCUCAUUGGAGCCUGACACAUCCGCUGCAUGUAAUUAAUGUCUUACAAGAGAAAAGUGAAGGGAGACAGCGUGCAUGCCGGGUUCCAAGGCGACCUGCCCAACACCCCGGUCACCAUCCCAGCCACAGGAGGCGGAAGCUGCCGGCAAUUUAAGGAUCUGCUGACUCCAUUCCCACAAUUCAUCCUUGGGCGAUUCCCCAAGGCCAACAAGAGCUACUCAAGAGGGUGCCUGCUGCUGGUAUAUUAGAAGACAGUAUGGUGGACAGUGUGGCUCGUUUUAAAUGAUCUGUAUGUGACCAGAAGGAAACAGACCAACUGCUAACAAGUCUUCUCUAUAAGCACCCAGAUUAAGUGGUUUUUGUAUUUUUGUCUAAUUUUUAUGUUCUUCAGGCUUUCUAGCACAAGUAGACAGUUGAUAAAGCUCAAACAUGUCAUUUUAAAUGGUCUUUAAAGGAGUCUAUAGAAACAAUUUGCUGUCUCCUGAGAAUAUCAUUCUAAAAAGUAUACGUAUUAUGGCCAUAAGUGAACCAUGUUGUGUGCAAAACCAGGUAAGCCCACAGUGAAUGACGAACCGGAAAAUAUCUGUGAAAAACUCUUUGUCUCUUCUAUAUUGUAAACUGGGCCAACUGCUUCUCUGUUCUCCAUUUUUAUUAUCCAGAUGGUGCUGUGUCCUUCCACUGGCUGCUUCGUUCUUGAAGAAGAUUACAGAGCAAGCCACUAGCAGAAGCAAUAAUGACAUUAGUGCACCUUUCCACUGGAUUGUCAUGUCUCUUUUGAGGAAGAAAAAGUACAAGCUUUAUGCUGGAUUCAUCCCCCUCACUUCUGUCUUCAAGUCAAGAUAAAAUGCUGACAAUGAGCUAGAACAGAUGAUGUACUCGAAAUGGCUGAGAAGUCAUUAACUAGCAAAAACCAGUUCAAAGGACAGGAAGAAAUAACUUGUUAUGGAUUGAGAGACAGGAGACAGGACUUUCACUUUCCACAAGUAACUUUCUUCCCUGGCCUCAGGCUCUCUUGAAAAAACAACCUAUAACUAAUUCUUGGGGAAGGGGGGGUGCCUUGGGGUGGAAGAACAAUUUGCUCAAACUUGGAAAACACAAAUGGUCAUUUAAACUGUCAAUAUCCAAAGAUUCAAAGAACCCAGGAUGGGGCAAAAAAGCAGCUCAGAGGGGCUUCUUCCUUUUUCAAUGCCAUUUGCCCAAACUCUAGUCAGUUACAGCUCUAUUGGAGACACUGGACCUCCUUGGCCUUCCCGGGGCCAUUUUUCUUCCUGGUCAUUUGGAUCAAGACAUUUCCACUUUGUUUAAUAAAUUUGUAGCUAUUGGAUGUGACCACGGG